UCCCUUAGAUGUUCUGGGCCGCACACGCGCUACACUGGCAGGUUCAUCGAGCUUCAUGCCCUGAUCUGAGAAGAACGGGAAAUCUUUGAACACCUGCCGUGCUUGGGAUAGAUGUUUGCAAUUAUUCAUCUUCAACGAGGAUUGCCUUGUAAGCGCACGUCAUCAGCGUGCAUUGAAUACGACCCUGUAUUCUGUACACACCGCCCGUCGCUCCUACCGAUUGAAGUUUUCGGUGAAUUUACUGGAGAUCCCUUUUGAAGGUGGUUCGCCACUGGAAGAAGUAUUCAAAAGUAAAUGAAUCGAAUGCUUUAGAGGAAGGAGAAGUCGUAACA
This 332-nucleotide ribosomal RNA is filed under the name uncultured eukaryote. RNAcentral's name for it is "partial 18S ribosomal RNA". It matches the Rfam family "Eukaryotic small subunit ribosomal RNA", at positions 1469 to 1796 of the family's 1831-position model. The record is from RNAcentral.